GACGAACGCUGGCGGCGUGCCUAAUACAUGCCAGUCGAGCGGACGAAUCGAAAGCUUGCUUUUGAUUCGUUAGCGGCGGACGGGUGAGUAACACGUGGGCAACCUGCCCUGUAGACGGGGAUAACACCGAGAAAUCGGUGCUAAUACCGGAUAACACGAAAUGUCGCAUGACGUUUCGUUGAAAGACGGCGCAAGCUGUCGCUACAGGAUGGGCCCGCGGCGCAUUAGCUAGUUGGUGAGGUAACGGCUCACCAAGGCGACGAUGCGUAGCCGACCUGAGAGGGUGAUCGGCCACACUGGGACUGAGACACGGCCCAGACUCCUACGGGAGGCAGCAGUAGGGAAUCUUCCGCAAUGGACGAAAGUCUGACGGAGCAACGCCGCGUGAGCGAAGAAGGCCUUCGGGUCGUAAAGCUCUGUUGUUAGGGAAGAACAAGUAACGCAGUAACUGGCGUUACCGUGACGGUACCUAACGAGAAAGCCACGGCUAACUACGUG
Molecule: ribosomal RNA, 498 nt
Filed under: uncultured bacterium
Lineage: Bacteria
Description: partial 16S ribosomal RNA
Rfam family: Bacterial small subunit ribosomal RNA
Source: RNAcentral